RNAcentral lists this non-coding RNA (29 nucleotides) under Mus musculus (house mouse). Lineage: Eukaryota; Metazoa; Chordata; Mammalia; Rodentia; Muridae. The record is from RNAcentral.
UUCACUUCAUGGACUCCCUAUGAUCGUGA